This 18-nucleotide small RNA is filed under the name Arabidopsis thaliana (thale cress). Its description in RNAcentral is "ATSL119170". The record is from RNAcentral. Lineage: Eukaryota; Viridiplantae; Streptophyta; Magnoliopsida; Brassicales; Brassicaceae.
GUUUUUGUUUUGUUUUUG